GAUGUGCUAUUAUUGGUUGUUUAAACUGAUUCUUUUGGUACCAGGACAAUUUUGGCGAGUGAAAUCUCUAGCCAGGUCGAGUUAAUUGCUGGUUGCUAUAUAUAUUAUGUUACGAUGGGAUAGGAUGAGGGAUGGUUGUUAGGUUGAGCGGGAGCUGCAAAGGCUGGUACCAUUAUUUGUAUAGGUUGUGUGAUAAAAAAGCUUGUAGACAUUUUGCAUGUACACUUUGCCGUAGUGGUUGGCGUUGGCAGCCAUAAACAGGAACACCAUUGUCUGUAUGUUACUUGUUUACGGUCUCAUGUCCAGCUGUUUGAAUUUUGU
This 321-nucleotide small RNA is filed under the name Oryza sativa Japonica Group (Japanese rice). RNAcentral describes it as "misc RNA Os12g0104800". The record is from RNAcentral. Lineage: Eukaryota; Viridiplantae; Streptophyta; Magnoliopsida; Poales; Poaceae.